CUCGGGGCCUCACCAGGAGGAGCCAAGACCCUCACCCGAGCCUGUGAUUCGGAUUCCGAGGCGCCGUUCAUCACGAAGGCGGCGGCGAACCACAUUGAAGUUCACACUGGGGCAGGUCGAGGAAAUGGAAAAAUUGUUCAAAGAAACCCAGUACCCAGAUGCGCUUGCCAGGAAAGAACUUGCACAAGCUUUGAAUAUUCCUGAAGUCAAAGUGAAGACAUGGUUCGUCCAUCGGAGAGCAGAAGAGAGGAAGAGUCAGAGGCGUGGAGUAGUACAGAGCACACCUCCUCGUGUUGAAUAGGUCCUUCUCAUUAUCGAUAGGGACGACUAUCUAUAGAGUGCAAUCUUUGUUCAGGACCUAGAGGCAAAUCUGGUGACACAUGUACUCAAUGUACAGCUUCACUAAAAUUCAUCACUCAUGUUAACAAUAAAAUCAUGAAUUUCCAAGUUA
Molecule: long non-coding RNA, 451 nt
Organism: Peromyscus eremicus (cactus mouse)
Lineage: Eukaryota; Metazoa; Chordata; Mammalia; Rodentia; Cricetidae
Exons: 3
Source: RefSeq, a predicted model, not a curated record